GAUGAACGCUGGCGGCGUGCCUAAUACAUGCAAGUCGAGCGUACAGACGAGGAGCUUGCUCCUCUGACGUUAGCGGCGGACGGGUGAGUAACACGUGGAUAACCUACCUAUAAGACUGGGAUAACUUCGGGAAACCGGAGCUAAUACCGGAUAAUAUAUUGAACCGCAUGGUUCAAUAGUGAAAGACGGUUUUGCUGUCACUUAUAGAUGGAUCCGCGCCGCAUUAGCUAGUUGGUAAGGUAACGGCUUACCAAGGCAACGAUGCGUAGCCGACCUGAGAGGGUGAUCGGCCACACUGGAACUGAGACACGGUCCAGACUCCUACGGGAGGCAGCAGUAGGGAAUCUUCCGCAAUGGGCGAAAGCCUGACGGAGCAACGCCGCGUGAGUGAUGAAGGUCUUCGGAUCGUAAAACUCUGUUAUUAGGGAAGAACAAAUGUGUAAGUAACUAUGCACGUCUUGACGGUACCUAAUCAGAAAGCCACGGCUAACUACGG
RNAcentral lists this ribosomal RNA (496 nucleotides) under uncultured bacterium. RNAcentral's name for it is "partial 16S ribosomal RNA". It matches the Rfam family "Bacterial small subunit ribosomal RNA", at positions 28 to 506 of the family's 1533-position model. The record is from RNAcentral.